Molecule: ribosomal RNA, 471 nt
Filed under: uncultured Pseudomonas sp.
Lineage: Bacteria; Pseudomonadati; Pseudomonadota; Gammaproteobacteria; Pseudomonadales; Pseudomonadaceae
Description: bacterial SSU rRNA
Rfam family: Bacterial small subunit ribosomal RNA
Source: RNAcentral
ACGGGGGCCCGCACAAGCGGUGGAGCAUGUGGUUAAUUCGAAGCAACGCGAAGAACCUUACCAGGCCUUGACAUGCAGAGAACUUUCCAGAGAUGGAUUGGUGCCUUCGGGAACUCUGACACAGGUGCUGCAUGGCUGUCGUCAGCUCGUGUCGUGAGAUGGUUGGGUUAAGUCCCGUAACGAGCGCAACCCUUGUCCUUAGUUACCAGCACGUUAUGGUGGGCACUCUAAGGAGACUGCCGGUGACAAACCGGAGGAAGGUGGGGAUGACGUCAAGUCAUCAUGGCCCUUACGGCCUGGGCUACACACGUGCUACAAUGGUCGGUACAAAGGGUUGCCAAGCCGCGAGGUGGAGCUAAUCCCAUAAAACCGAUCGUAGUCCGGAUCGCAGUCUGCAACUCGACUGCGUGAAGUCGGAAUCGCUAGUAAUCGUGAAAUCAGAAUGUCACGGUGAAUACGUUCCCGGGCCUU